This 68-nucleotide transfer RNA is filed under the name Pseudotibiozus cerasopus. Its description in RNAcentral is "tRNA-Met". Lineage: Eukaryota; Metazoa; Arthropoda; Diplopoda; Spirostreptida; Spirostreptidae. The record is from RNAcentral.
GUAAAAGUAAGCUAAGUUUAAGCUAUUGGGUCCAUACCCCACUUAUAGAGCCAGAUCUCUCUUUUCCA